Molecule: long non-coding RNA, 1787 nt
Filed under: Olea europaea subsp. europaea
Lineage: Eukaryota; Viridiplantae; Streptophyta; Magnoliopsida; Lamiales; Oleaceae
Source: RNAcentral
UCUGUUAAUACUCCUCCUCAAGUUGGAGCAUGGAGAUCCGUAAUGCCCAACUUGCGAGUGAAAUGGUGAAAUAAGUCAUUUUCAAGAGCCUUAGUAAGAAUGUCAGCUAACUAUAGCUUGGAUGAGACAUGCGUAGGGAGAUGAACCCAGACAAAUAUUUUUCACGCACAAAGUGGCAAUCAAGUUCAAUGUGUUUGGUGCGUUCAUGGAAAAUAGGAUUUUGUGUGAUAUGAAAAGCAACCUCAUUGUCGCAGCAGAGUAGAAUAUGCUGCGGAUGGAGAACAACAAGAUCAUGCAAAAGAGAUUUGAGCUAGACGAGUUCACAUGUAGUCAUAGCCAUUGCAUGGUAUUCAGCUUCGGUGGAAGAUUGAGAAACAAUAGUCUGUUUCUUUGUGCUCCACGAGAUAGGGCUAUUUCCAAGAGUAAUGAAGAAACUAGUAGUGGUACGACGAGUGGUGGGACAACUUGCCCAGUCGACGUCUGAGUAUGCAGAAAGUUGAAAAUUACACUGAGCUAAAUAGAAUAGACCAUGUCUUGGAGGGCCUUUUAGGUAACGUAGAACAUGAAAGACUGCAGUAAGGUGUGAGUCCCGAGGGUUCUGCAUGAACUGACUUAGCAUAUUAACAAAGAAGGAAAUGUCUGGCCGAGUAAUGGUGAGGUACAAGAGCCGACCAACUAGGCGUCGGUAUGAACUCGGGUCUGGGAGUAUAGUGCCAUCAUCAGGAUUGAGUUUCAAAUUCUGAUCCAUGGGACAAGUAGUUGGUCGAGAACCCAAGUUACCAGAUUCAGCAAGAAUGUCUAGUGUAUAUUUGCGUUGGUUGACGAAAAUACCAAGAUGUGAUGGGGCGAUCUCGAGGCUAAGAAAGUACUUCAUGGUGCCUAAAUCCUUGAUUUUGAACUUGUGAUUAGGGUUGGGCAAAACCCAAACCAACCCAUGAAAACCACCUGACCCGACCCAAACCAACCAAUUUGGGUCGAUUUUUUGGUGUUUUUAGGUGGGUUUCGGGUUUAGAGUUGUGUUGUUGGGUCGGGUUAUGGGUUACCCAAUGAAACCCGAUAAAACCCAAACUGACCCAACCCGCUAACAUUAAAAAUUGAAAAAAAAAAAUGACAAAACAAAAAAUGAAAAAAAGCUCUAAAAUUUUCAAUUGGUCCAUCUUUUCUUGCAACCACUCCCAUCAACAGCCAACAAGAAGGCAAAAGCCUUAAUCUCUCGUCUCUCCCGUCAUUUUCUCUCAAAACCCAAUGACGAUUCGACGAACUUCGUCUCUCAAAACCCAACGUCGAAGUCGAACGUUCACACUCCUGCUUCAGUGGUAGUCUAAUAAAGUAUGUAUACUUCGUUAUUUUAUAUUCGUAUUUUCUUUUUUUUCUUUUUUUCUUUUUUUGUUAUAAAUGCAGAAACUGCAAAUCUGCAAUCUGCAAUAAACUUCAGAAAUUAAGAAUUGCUUGACCAUUCUCAAUUUUGGGUGUGUUUUGAUCGACUAAAAGGUAAUAUAUCUAUGCAUUCGCAAGUCCCUUGUACAAAAUAGGGAAAGGCUCUUCCCUGUAUUCUUUAUGGAUACCCUUUUUUUAUUGAGUGGGUUGCUUUGAAUUGGAAUCCUGGAUGUGAAGAGAUGCUGUUUCUGGAUAUUAGGUGUCAUGCCGAAUCUGAUUAGAAAAUUUAUGGUUUACAAAUAUGGAUUUAAGCUCGUGAAUUUUAGGGGCCUUUUGAUUUUAUUGAGGUUGUCAGUAGUUAAUUCCUGAAGGCUGUACUGGAGAUGAAGUUAAACUAAUAACUAGUGGAG